This 744-nucleotide ribosomal RNA is filed under the name Triticum aestivum (bread wheat). RNAcentral describes it as "partial small subunit ribosomal RNA". Lineage: Eukaryota; Viridiplantae; Streptophyta; Magnoliopsida; Poales; Poaceae. The record is from RNAcentral.
AUGGAUCGCAUGAUGCAUCUAGACCAGCACCAGCAAUGCGGCGACCAACGAGACGCCGCAAUGGCUACUACUGGCACGCGCAGCAGUGCUGGUGUCGGUGUCUCGCAGGUCGCCUUCGUGCUCGCCGCCGUUGCUUUCCUCUCAUUCAUCUCAUCGUCCUUGGGCGGCGCCGCCGCUGCCGGGGCUUCUUCUUCCUCUCUCCUUUCCGGCGCCGCCCUAUCAGCUCGCCUUGCGGCCUUGUGCGGCUUUGUCACCACCAAGAAGGCGCUGUUCGUCCUCUCCAAUGCCAUCUUCCUCUUCCUCGCCGCCGACUGCCGCUGCUUCUUCCCUGGCGUCUCCAGCAUGGCCAUCCCAUCCACGAGUGAUAACGAUGUCGUCACGGCUUCUGAAUUACCGCCAUGUGCCGUUCAAGCUCGGCCGUGUGGUUCUUAUUCAGGGAACCUUUACUACUGCUAUAGCAACACCAAGAGUGCAUCGGCGGAUUGCUCGGCGGCAGAGCAAGGGAUUAAACGAGAAGAGGCACCGGUGUCGUCGCGGCUCGAAACAGCUGGGCUCGACGGAGACGAAGCCAACAUCGUUGCCUUGGAGACGGAGCAAACCUGCGGUGGAGUAGCUGAGGAGGAGCUAGAGAGGCUAGAGAUCGACGAGCUCAACAGGAAGUUUGAAGAUUUCAUCCAAAGCAGAAGAAUCAAAUGGCUCAAGGAGGAGGAGGAGCAAGUAUUGCAAUCCAGCAGCAACAAGUAG